GGAGAAGCAAAGAACAAAACCACGGAAGGAAAAGGAAGAAAAUGGAAGAGAAAAAGAAAAAGAAGGAAGGGAUAGGUUCCAAUUUUACAAGGCUAGGUUCUCAAUUUCUCAUUUUCUCCCCUUAAUUUAGAGAGGUAAGUAUAAGAAUGUGAAAUUAUCUCCUUUAGGGUCUAUGAAACUUAUCUCUAAAACUUUGAAGUUAGCAAGAAUUAGGUGUUAUUGAUGUGUAUUCAAGGUUUUAAUUAAGAAUAUAGCAAGGAAAUAUUUAUUUGAAAAUUGAAGUUGAAGAAAGUAGAAUUUUGGAAAUGGGUUGUGAGAUGAAAGAUAUAUUCUUUGAGUUUCUUGUGAUUAUAUGAUGCUAAACACUCAAAUUAAGGAUUUGAGAUUUGAAUUCUCCAUUAUUUUAAAGCAAUUUUCAAGCUAUUAUAGUACAAGUGUUAAUUCUGAAAUUCUACCCAAAAAUGUCAAUGGUUUCGAUGCCAGAUUUCAAUAUAUAGAAAUUGGUGCUAGAUUUCUAUAUUCUGGAAUUUUAGUGCUGUUUUGUCAAACCUUGGAUUUCUAGAUUUUUAAAGUUUUGAAUGAAUUUAUAUGACAAAUUUUGAAGUCUAUGUAUUGGACUAAAUAUGUACAGCUGUUGUAUAUGUAUAAAGGUAGUGAUUUUAAGGAAGUGUGAGUGGUGUAAUGAAUUUGAUAGUGUAUGGUGAUUAGUUGAUAAAUUAUUAAAGAGAAGAAAAGUUGGGGAAUUGGAGAUAUAAGAGUAAGUAUAGAAGUUGAGAUGUUAAGUGGUGGAUUUGCAUUACUAUAAUUGUUAAGUUUUAAGAAAUUAUACGUUAUUUCAGGUAGGGAUGUGAAAGUUUAGAAAGGUUCUUUAAUUUAAUCAAAUUUCUAUCCAUAGAUCUGUGAGUGGAAAAACUUAAAUAAUUUCAAGGUAUUAUAAAUUAAGUAUAUUAUUAAGUUAUGUGAAUUAUUUGCUCAAUUAUAUGAUUACCAUAAAAGUUUCUUUUACCAUGAUACAUGUGGAAUUUCAAAGAUUGUAUAUGCUAAAGUUUGUGAUUUGGAAUAUGAGAUGUAAUAUUGAGAUCGAUCAAAAAAGUACCAGUGAUUAUAUACUUCUUCUAGUUCACGGAUGACUACCAGAGGUCUUGAGACCAACUUUCGUUCACGGAGAGGGCCAAAGACCCAUGGUGAAAGUUCUUAGCCCGAGUGACGGAUUUCAGAUUAUUUAGAGGGUACAUUUUUUGCGGAUCACAUGUAAUGUGAUGAGAUCUCGGGGUUUUUUUUUUAGAUUUUAGUUAGAGAGCACAUUUUUGGCGGAUCAUAUGUGAUGUGAUGAGAUGAUAUUUACAGAGUUAUGAGAAUGUCUCUUUUUUGGUAUAAUUGUAUGAGGUUAUCGUGUGAAUUACUAAACGAUAUGAACUUGAUGUCUAC
Molecule: long non-coding RNA, 1428 nt
Filed under: Olea europaea subsp. europaea
Lineage: Eukaryota; Viridiplantae; Streptophyta; Magnoliopsida; Lamiales; Oleaceae
Source: RNAcentral